CUACAGUCAGCUGGGGGUUAGCUGAAGGUUUGUUGAGGUUUGAUUUCACUGAGCUUGCAUAGGCUCUUUCACAUGUUUUAGACUUUGGCUGGGAUCAACCAGAUGACCAAUUCUGAUCCAAGUGAUCUCUGGUCUUCCAGGAAGCUAGUCUGGCUUAUUCAUACGAAGUUUGCAAAAGUCCAAGAAAGCAAGCAGAGGCAUGCAUGCAAGGCCUCUUGAAUCCGAAGCUAGGAACUACUAGAACAUCACUUCUGCCUCAUUCUAGCAGCCAAAGCAAGUCACCAGACCAGUUUAGAUUCAAGAUGAAAAAUGAAACCUUACAGUGCAAUUGAUCUACUCAUUCAAGAUCUCAGAAGUCCAGAAGUGGUGGCUUAUGCUUGUAAUCUUAGCACUUUGGGAUGCCAAGGUGGGUGGAUCACUUGAGGUCAGGAGUUCGAGACCAGCCUGGCCAACAUGAUGAAACCACAUCUCUACCAAAAAUUAGUCGGGGGUGGUGGUGGGCAUUUGUAAUCCCAGCUACUCCGGAGGCUGAGGCAAGAGAAUCACUUAAAUCUGGGAGGCAGAGGUUGCAGUGAACUGAGAUCAUGCCACUACACUCCAGCCUGGGCGAUGCAGUGAGACUCCGUCUCAAAAAA
This 635-nucleotide long non-coding RNA is filed under the name Homo sapiens (human). RNAcentral describes it as "non-protein coding lnc-SERPING1-1:1". Lineage: Eukaryota; Metazoa; Chordata; Mammalia; Primates; Hominidae. The record is from RNAcentral.